Molecule: ribosomal RNA, 2386 nt
Filed under: Triticum aestivum (bread wheat)
Lineage: Eukaryota; Viridiplantae; Streptophyta; Magnoliopsida; Poales; Poaceae
Description: partial small subunit ribosomal RNA
Source: RNAcentral
GCCCAAGAAAAAAAACACGACAACGUUAUCUCUCUGUCCUCUCUCCCUUAUCUCUUUCUCUUCCGAUCUGAGCGGCGACAACGACGCUCGCAUCCGCCGACGCUCGUAUCCGGCGACGGUUCCACCACUCCGUCCAUCUCUUCCUCCCACCACUCCAUCACCAUCCCCACAUCGCUGUUGAUUUCCCAUGUGGAGGUGGUCCUGCGGCGCCGAUGCCCUCCCCAGCUGCCGGUGGCGGCACUUUUUGUUCGUGCCCAAGCGCUCGGUGAGGUCACCUCUCACCUCCCUCCUAUGGUGCCACCGCCCCAAGCCCCCAACCCAUUUGCAGCUCCCUCUUCCCCACUCCCAGGGUUGCAGAUCUGAGCGGGACAAGGUCCCUUCGGCCUUGGUGGUUUGGAACAAGGCGUGCGGCCUCUACUCCCUUAACUUCUGGAUACUAGGGGCACGGUGGUUGGUGCCCCAUCUCUCUUAGCCAUCCACAGCGGCAACAACAUCAGGUCAAACAAACUUUCAUAGGUUUGGUGGAUGUUUGGGCAAUUACUCAACUACUAACAAAAGGCCACUGGAUGAUUUUUAUACCUGCAUCACAUCAAGUGGAUUUGGAUAGAACACAAGCUGGCAUGGUCUUCAUCGUGGAUUCAAUCUCCACACGAGUGGAGUGGCCUCUGACUUGUGCCGCAGCUGCGGACGGGCAGAGGAGACGACGACGUAGGGCACACGGAGCCAGCAGCCCUAGAAGCCAUGAUGCCCGCGAACAAAAUUACCGGAAGGAUAGGAAACAGACUACUUGAUCUCACGAUGCAUGUAGUCUUUUUUUGUGAUGCGUACAACAAGCGAUCAGGUCAUCAAGGGAUGCUUUCUCACGUUGGACGUUUGGGCUGGAAAAUUCGUGCUAGGCCAUUAGUGUCAAACACUAAAAAAAAACAGGUUUGCACUUUACGUAUACGUACAGUUCAUAUCAGUACCAGGUAAUGAAAACUCACAGGGGGGCGAGGCGAUGGGGGGUGUCUGACCCCUGCUCGCACCCCCCGCCUCCGCCUCUGACGUAGAUUUGAUUAUUUAUUUAUCUUUGUGGUAGGUGACUAUCUAAAAUAAAUUUUGCAUAAUAGAUAUUAGCCAUUAAAGAUGACCAGCUCCAUGAUUAAUAAGUGAGGCUGCUUACUUUGUUAAGUUUGAGGAUUGGUAAUAAAAUAGGUACUUAUCCUGGAACCACCAAAAUCCAGGAUACAUGAUUUUGGUGGUUCCAGGGUAAGUACCUAUUUUGUUAUUUCAGCAUUAUACAUGAUUAAUGCUUUGAUGGUAAGUGUAAUAAACACAUGAUUGCUGUACAUGAAUCCAUGAUUAUUUUCUUUGGGAGAUACUAUAUUUUUCUUUGUAAUAAGUGUAAUGAUUACAUCUAUUUAUGUGCAAUAACAUUGCAGAAUAUUCGAUAGAGAACUCAGCAAUCAAACCUAUGUACAUGUUAACAUGUGAGGGUGCAACCGAAUAGCUGUACAUGAAUCUGAAACAAGAGGAAGAACCGAGGAUUCUUCAAGAAGCUUCUUCUAUUCGUGCACAAUGGCGUCGUAGUCAAGUAAGAGGUAGAUAGAUCUUUUCUGGUCGCUCGUCUAUACAUCAUCCUUUCAUUAGUCAUUUUUGAUUAGCGGAUGAAAGCACAAGCAUGAUUGUACUUUUCUUAGAAUGAAGAAAAGAAAUACACCAUCAGACCGACGUACAUUCAUACUACUAUCUCGUGGUCCAUUUCUGUUCCAAAUAACUUCUCCCCUGAUUUGAACAAUAAUUUUUCAGGCUGAGAUGGAAAUUUUACGCUCACCGGAUUACAUUUUCAGAUACUAAGAUAGGUUACAAUUGAAUGUCGAACAGUUGGUUGGACAUUUUGUAUCAGUCCUGAUACCACUUAGAAGAUAGAACAAGUCUGUAUCUCUGGAGAUUUUCUGAAGUUUUAAGUGUGUACCUAACCAAUUGAAUAUUAUAGAUGCAUUUGUUACUUCUACUUGACACCAUUGACACUCUGAAAUUUGAAGGGUUCAAUCGACACAUGGUGUGUAAGCAUUGCCUAUCUACCUAAAGGGUAUGCAGGAGCGUUGCCAACAUCAAUGUGCUUUGUGCUGCAGAAAUGGAUUUUCAAAAACCUCCAGCACAUGGUGUCCUGGGAAUUCCUGGAUAUGUCGACCUGCUAGCUCAUUAUGAGGAAAGACAGGCAAGAGGACGAGGAAACAUGAAGCCCGUGGUUUGUGUAAAUGGGAUAUUUUGUGUAAUGGUGACUGAAUCGUUGGAGAUGCACUUUAUAUAUCAUUUUGUAAACUCGCAUUGUGUCUGACAAAAUGAACCAUAUUGUAAUGGAUGAACUAUUUACAUCUGAAAUUAAUUAAUGUGUUAUUGUUUG